GAUCGAGUUUGAUCCUGGCUCAGGAUGAACGCUAGCGGCAGGCUUAACACAUGCAAGUCGAGGGGUAUAGUUCUUCGGAGCUAGAGACCGGCGCACGGGUGCGUAACGCGUAUGCAAUCUACCUUUUACGAGAGGGAUAGCCCAGAGAAAUUUGGAUUAAUACCUCAUAGUAUGUGAGAAUCGCAUGGUUUUCACAUUAAAGUCACAACGGUAAACGAUGAGCAUGCGUCCCAUUAGC
RNAcentral lists this ribosomal RNA (238 nucleotides) under uncultured Flavobacteriaceae bacterium. RNAcentral's name for it is "partial 16S ribosomal RNA". It matches the Rfam family "Bacterial small subunit ribosomal RNA", at positions 1 to 245 of the family's 1533-position model. Lineage: Bacteria; Pseudomonadati; Bacteroidota; Flavobacteriia; Flavobacteriales; Flavobacteriaceae. The record is from RNAcentral.